Molecule: long non-coding RNA, 607 nt
Organism: Helianthus annuus (common sunflower)
Lineage: Eukaryota; Viridiplantae; Streptophyta; Magnoliopsida; Asterales; Asteraceae
Exons: 3
Source: RefSeq, a predicted model, not a curated record
CAAUCAAAAUGGCCGGAGAUCAAGGAGUACGAUUCACCAAUCGUCAAUCUUUUCUUCUUAACCUCUAAACGUCACAAUCCAAAAUCGUUUCCGAUCUGUUCCGUUGUGUUGCACCACCACAGUUACUCGCCAUCGUGGAACUACCUAGACCGCACGUCGCCGUUUUCAACCGUCCCACACACACCAACGCCACCGCUUUGAACCCGCCGUACGGUCCGCUGUAACUACACACGCCUUCCAGCACCAUGGCGCCCGUUGCUUCGAUCUAAGAGGUUUGCAUACUUUUUGUGGAUGACUUGAUUUGUGGCUUUACUUGCUAAACUAAGGUAAUAUGGGAUGAUCUGGGGUUUCAGUCAGGAGCGUUAGGAAGUUGCUGGCAACGACUAUUUAUUUCAGUAAUGUAAUAAAUGUGAUUAGGAUCUUUUAUUUAAUGUUAUGGAUCGGUUUUUAGUUUUGAUAUCUGUAAGAGUGACACGUCAGCCCUAGCGGGGUUGGGGUGUUACAGAAUAUCACUCAAUAACCAUAAUUCCCUUAUCUCCGGUUACAAUAGCAAACCACCAAUGCUUGUCAGAUCAGAUUUUAAUAUCAGGCAACGUCAGAUGGUGCA